AGGAGUGUAGCUUGGUGCUAGAGCACCUUCUUUUCAUACAGAAGGUCCCAGGUUCGAUCCCUGAUGUCUCUA
Molecule: non-coding RNA, 72 nt
Organism: Podarcis lilfordi (Lilford's wall lizard)
Lineage: Eukaryota; Metazoa; Chordata; Lepidosauria; Squamata; Lacertidae
Source: the annotation of a GenBank genome assembly